UACGGAGGGUGCGAGCGUUAAUCGGAAUUAUUGGGCGUAAAGGGUGCGUAGGUGGUUUAUUAAGUUAGCUGUGAAAUUCCUGGGCUUAACCUGGGGUGGUCAGCUAAGACUGAUAGACUUGAGUAUAGGAGAGGGUAGUGGAAUUUCCGGUGUAGCGGUGAAAUGCGUAGAGAUCGGAAGGAACACCAGUGGCGAAGGCGGCUACCUGGCCUGAUACUGACACUGAGGCACGAAAGCGUGGGGAGCAAACAGGAUUAGAAACCCUAGUAGUCC
This 273-nucleotide ribosomal RNA is filed under the name uncultured bacterium. RNAcentral's name for it is "partial 16S ribosomal RNA". It matches the Rfam family "Bacterial small subunit ribosomal RNA", at positions 524 to 796 of the family's 1533-position model. The record is from RNAcentral.